CGUUCUGAGAUCAGUCGAGAUUACCCGCUGAACUUAAGCAUAUCACUAAGCGGAGGAAAAGAAACUAACCAGGAUUCCCCUAGUAAUGGCGAAUGAACAGGGAAGAGCUCAAGCUUGAAUCUUCGGAAUUGUAGUCUAUAGGCAGCAUCUCGUGCAGACCCGGGUAUAAAUCCGUUCUUGGAACUGGGUGCCAGAGAGGGUUAGAGCCCCGUCUUUGACUCGGUGUAUGCGCGUGGUGAGUGCUUGCCAGAGAGUCGGCUUGCUUGGGAAUGCAGGUCAAAAUGGGUGGUAAA
Molecule: ribosomal RNA, 293 nt
Filed under: Teleaulax amphioxeia
Lineage: Eukaryota; Cryptophyceae; Pyrenomonadales; Geminigeraceae
Description: partial 28S ribosomal RNA
Rfam family: Eukaryotic large subunit ribosomal RNA
Source: RNAcentral